RNAcentral lists this unclassified non-coding RNA (247 nucleotides) under Panonychus citri (citrus red mite). Lineage: Eukaryota; Metazoa; Arthropoda; Arachnida; Trombidiformes; Tetranychidae. The record is from RNAcentral.
CUGCGAGAAGCCUUUGAAGCGGAAGCAAAGGAAAAAAAACUUCCUCGACUGUUACUGACCGCGGCAGUUUCCGCUGGAGCCGAUACCAUAAAAUCAGGCUAUGAUGUACCAGCUGUUGCUGCAUAUCUUGAUUUCUUGAACAUCAUGUCAUAUGAUUUCCAUGGAAAAUGGGAAAGUAAAACUGGUCACAAUGCUCCACUUUAUGCCCAAGCCAAUGAAAGUGAAUGGAGAAAAAUGCUUUCCAUAG